AAAAACUCAUACAUCAUCCUCAGUAUUUUCUCCCACAAUUUUAACAUUGUAUUGUGCCCUCGCCACAACUGGCGACCCAUUCUUCCUCGCCAGAGGCUCAAAAAUGAAAAUAUUAUUUAUUUUUCUUAGCACCUCUCUCUCUUCGCUUUGUAAAUUUUGGCGCUCUCGAGUUCACGCCAUUUUUAGAAAAGAAUAAGUGGUCGAUUUGACCAGUGUAGGGAAGGAGUAUUUUGCACGGCAUAGAUUGAAGCCCACCGAUUCAGAAUUAGUAUUCUUGAGAGGGCAUAUCCUCAUACUGGAUGAGACAUGGCAGAAAAGAACAAAAAACACGAUGAGAAAAAAGAAGUUCUUGAGAGGGCAUAUCCUCAAACUCAAGAACUCAUAGAGAUUAAGAGAGAAGCUUCAAUUGAAACGAAUGAAAAAAUAAUUGGAAAUUACCAUGAUGGAUACUACAAACUUGGAUCCAAAGCAGCAACAAUGCAUUAGCCAACUUCGCCAAGAAAUCAUUCAACGUCAAGAGCAGAGUAAUUGGUGAACAUUGUUGCAAUGUAGCACACCAGCCAUGCAACCUUUUUGUCAAUGCAAGGAUUUUUCUGUUAAGGUGUUUCUAAACUUUUCAAAUUUUUUGUCGAGGAGAAUGUAUCUUUAGCCCUUCUCUCAUUGUUUCUAGCUUAUCAUGCCUUGUUUCUUUUGGUCUUUAGUUAUGCUACUGUUAAGUAUAAUAAGUUAAAACAAAGAAAAAAACUUGUCAGACUUGCCUUUUAGGUUACUCAAACACCCCCCCCCUCCCC
Molecule: long non-coding RNA, 791 nt
Organism: Quercus robur (English oak)
Lineage: Eukaryota; Viridiplantae; Streptophyta; Magnoliopsida; Fagales; Fagaceae
Exons: 2
Source: RefSeq, a predicted model, not a curated record